CCUACGGGAGGCAGCAGUGAGGAAUAUUGGUCAAUGGGCGCGAGCCUGAACCAGCCAAGUAGCGUGAAGGAUGACUGCCCUACGGGUCGUAAACUUCUUUUAUAAAGGAAUAAAGUGAGGCACGUGUGCCUUUUUGUAUGUACUUUAUGAAUAAGGAUCGGCUAACUCCGUGCCAGCAGCCGCGGUAAUACGGAGGAUCCGAGCGUUAUCCGGAUUUAUUGGGUUUAAAGGGAGCGUAGAUGGGUUGGUAAGUCAGUUGUGAAAGUUUGCGGCUCAACCGUAAAAUUGCAAUUGAUACUGGCAGUCUUGAGUACAGUUGAGGUAGGCGGAAUUCGUGGUGUAGCGGUGAAAUGCUUAGAUAUCACGAAGAACUCCGAUUGCGAAGGCAGCUUACUAAACUGCCACUGACAUUGAUGCUCGAAAGUGUGGGUAUCAAACAGGAUUAGAUACCCCAGUAGUC
RNAcentral lists this ribosomal RNA (460 nucleotides) under uncultured bacterium. Its description in RNAcentral is "partial 16S ribosomal RNA". It matches the Rfam family "Bacterial small subunit ribosomal RNA", at positions 338 to 795 of the family's 1533-position model. The record is from RNAcentral.